AGAACGAACGCUGGCGGCAGGCUUAACACAUGCAAGUCGAACGCCCCGCAAGGGGAGUGGCAGACGGGUGAGUAACGCGUGGGAAUCUACCUAGUUCUACGGAACAACAGUUGGAAACGACUGCUAAUACCGUAUACGCCCUAAGGGGGAAAGAUUUAUCGGAAUUAGAUGAGCCCGCGUAAGAUUAGCUAGUUGGUGGGGUAAUGGCCUACCAAGGCGACGAUCUUUAGCUGGUCUGAGAGGAUGAUCAGCCACACUGGGACUGAGACACGGCCCAGACUCCUACGGGAGGCAGCAGUGGGGAAUAUUGGACAAUGGGCGCAAGCCUGAUCCAGCCAUGCCGCGUGAGUGAUGAAGGCCUUAGGGUUGUAAAGCUCUUCAGUGGGAAGAUAAUGACGGUACCACAGAAGAAGCCCGGCUAACUUCGUGCCAGCAGCCGC
This 440-nucleotide ribosomal RNA is filed under the name uncultured bacterium. Its description in RNAcentral is "SSU rRNA". It matches the Rfam family "Bacterial small subunit ribosomal RNA", at positions 26 to 518 of the family's 1533-position model. The record is from RNAcentral.